AUUGAACGCUGGCGGCAGGCCUAACACAUGCAAGUCGAACGCCCUGGCAACAGGGGGUGGCAGACGGGUGAGCAACGCGUGGGAACGUGCCCUUCGGUUCGGAAUAACUCAGGGAAACUUGAGCUAAUACCGAAUACGUGCGAGAGCAGAAAGAUUUAUCGCCGAAGGAUCGGCCCGCGUCCGAUUAGCUAGUUGGUGAGGUAAUGGCUCACCAAGGCGACGAUCGGUAGCUGGUCUGAGAGGAUGAUCAGCCACACUGGGACUGAGACACGGCCCAGACUCCUACGGGAGGCAGCAGUGGGGAAUAUUGGACAAUGGGCGCAAGCCUGAUCCAGCCAUGCCGCGUGAGUGAUGAAGGCCCUAGGGUUGUAAAGCUCUUUCGCCAGGGACGAUAAUGACGGUACCUGGAUAAGAAGCCCCGGCUAACUUCGUGCCAGCCGCCGCAGUAA
RNAcentral lists this ribosomal RNA (449 nucleotides) under uncultured bacterium. Its description in RNAcentral is "partial 16S ribosomal RNA". It matches the Rfam family "Bacterial small subunit ribosomal RNA", at positions 30 to 523 of the family's 1533-position model. The record is from RNAcentral.